This 1255-nucleotide long non-coding RNA is filed under the name Gossypium raimondii (Peruvian cotton). Its description in RNAcentral is "long non-coding RNA (GRAI_LNC009497)". The record is from RNAcentral. Lineage: Eukaryota; Viridiplantae; Streptophyta; Magnoliopsida; Malvales; Malvaceae.
AAAAUAAUCAGAAAACUUUAUGAAUUGCAUUGUUUCACAGAUGCAGUCGCAAUAAAAUUAUGGUGAAUAUGAAACUCUUUAUUCAUAUUUUAUGAAUUGCAUUGUUUCACACAACACUCAUCCUCACCAACUUUAUGAUUUCAUGCGUGUAUAAAUAUAAACCACUUCAUGCAUGUAAAAAGAUAAACCAAACUUCAAUGCUUCCUGCUUUAACAGGGGAGAUUCUGAAAAGAGGCAAAAGAACUUAAAGAAUAAAGCUUGAGCAGCAAUGGAUUAUAAAUCAAAUUAACCAGAAAAGCAAACAUAUUGUCUGUGCACAACAAGAACUCUUUGUCAACAAUGGUUGUUAAAAGAGUAGACAGACACAAUGCAAAUUAUGAGUGCUAAGCUUAUGGUACCAAACAGUAUACAUUCAACCACACAACACUAAACACUGCACAUCAGGAUACACGUUUUAUUUACUUCCACAACAUCUCUAACCCGCAAUUAAUAGAAACCAAACAAGAAAGGGAAGUUUGAAUAUUCCCAAAAGAUAGUGUGCGAAUAACUCAACAACACACCAACUCCAUGAGAUAUGGCUAUUACCAAAUAACUCAGUGCCAACUUAAACACCUUCUUCCUGAUCAUGCGUUCACUUAAAAAUUAGUGUAAUCAGUUAAAUUCAGCAAGAUUUUAACGGAAGUUUAUACUGAAUCAAUUUAUUGUAGUUAAAUGAAGAAAACAAAUCAAACCAAACUCUCUGUAAGCCACAACAAAUUAAAUACAGUUCUGUUUCAUUAUUCAGUUGUUAGACUUAAAAAUAGUUAAGAGUUCUAUAAUAUAAUUCACCUAGUUACACAAAGAACAAAUACCAGUUUUAUUUCAUAAAUAAAAAUAAAAAUUUUAGAUUAACAAAAGUCAAGAUUAACAAAGCACAAUGAUUUUAUUGAGGUUCUUCAGCACAAAGCAAAACAAUUCAGCAAGACUCCAACAAUCCUUAACACCCAAUCCAUUAAAGACGAAAAAGAAAACUCAAAACAGUAUCUAUAAAAGAACUAACAUAGUGCAAAUUCCUUUGCAGGUUCUAAAAAUUCAAGUUAGAAAAAGCAAUAAUUUAGCUCAAAUCUGGAAAGAAAAUUAAAAAAAAAAAAAAAACUAGUGAAAUGAGAUUAAUAUCCUUUCAGGAAAAGAAGAAGAAGAAAAAUAAUAAUAACCGCUUAUUUUGGUCAUCACGGCAAGGUAUUUGGAGCGAAGAACCCUCCUAUCUGCCGCANNN